GCAGUGCUGGUUCAGUGGUAGAAUUCUCGCCUUCCAAGUGAAAGACCUGGGUACAAUUCCCAGCCAAUGCA
Molecule: transfer RNA, 71 nt
Filed under: Loxodonta africana (African savanna elephant)
Lineage: Eukaryota; Metazoa; Chordata; Mammalia; Proboscidea; Elephantidae
Rfam family: tRNA
About the family: Transfer RNA (tRNA) molecules are approximately 80 nucleotides in length. Their secondary structure includes four short double-helical elements and three loops (D, anti-codon, and T loops).
Source: Rfam by way of RNAcentral